UUAAGCGACUAAGCGUACACGGUGGAUGCCCUGGCAGUCAGAGGCGAUGAAGGGCGUGCUAAUCUGCGAUAAGCGCCGGUAAGGUGAUAUGAACCGUUAUAACCGGCGAUACCCGAAUGGGGAAACCCAGUGUGAUUCGUCACACUAUCAUUAACUGAAUCCAUAGGUUAAUGAGGCGAACCGGGGGAACUGAAACAUCUAAGUACCCCGAGGAAAAGAAAUCAACCGAGAUUCCCCCAGUAGCGGCGAGCGAACGGGGAGGAGCCCAGAGCCUGAAUCAGCAUGUGUGUUAGUGGAAGCGUCUGGAAAGGUGCGCGAUACAGGGUGACAGCCCCGUACACAAAAGCGCAUGUGCUGUGAGCUCGAUGAGUAGGGCGGGACACGUGGUAUCCUGUCUGAAUAUGGGGGGACCAUCCUCCAAGGCUAAAUACUCCUGACUGACCGAUAGUGAACCAGUACCGUGAGGGAAAGGCGAAAAGAACCCCGGCGAGGGGAGUGAAAAAGAACCUGAAACCGUGUACGUACAAGCAGUGGGAGCACCCUUCGGGGUGUGACUGCGUACCUUUUGUAUAAUGGGUCAGCGACUUAUAUUCUGUAGCAAGGUUAACCGUAUAGGGGAGCCGGAGGGAAACCGAGUCUUAAUUGGGCGUUAAGUUGCAGGGUAUAGACCCGAAACCCGGUGAUCUAGCCAUGGGCAGGUUGAAGGUUGGGUAACACUAACUGGAGGACCGAACCGACUAAUGUUGAAAAAUUAGCGGAUGACCUGUGGCUGGGGGUGAAAGGCCAAUCAAACCGGGAGAUAGCUGGUUCUCCCCGAAAGCUAUUUAGGUAGCGCCUCGUGAAUUCAUCUCCGGGGGUAGAGCACUGUUUCGGCUAGGGGGCCAUCCCGGCUUACCAACCCGAUGCAAACUGCGAAUACCGGAGAAUGUUAUCACGGGAGACACACGGCGGGUGCUAACGUCCGUCGUGAAGAGGGAAACAACCCAGACCGCCAGCUAAGGUCCCAAAGUCAUGGUUAAGUGGGAAACGAUGUGGGAAGGCCCAGACAGCCAGGAUGUUGGCUUAGAAGCAGCCAUCAUUUAAAGAAAGCGUAAUAGCUCACUGGUCGAGUCGGCCUGCGCGGAAGAUGUAACGGGGCUAAACCAUGCACCGAAGCUGCGGCAGCGAACGUAUCACCCAAGACAACUUUACGGAGUUGACGAUUGACGGAGCGAAGCGACGUCAAAGCGUUCAUUAAAGUCGAGUUGGCUUAGGGAUACGUUCGUUGGGUAGGGGAGCGUUCUGUAAGCCUGUGAAGGUGUGUCGUGAGGCAUGCUGGAGGUAUCAGAAGUGCGAAUGCUGACAUAAGUAACGAUAAAGCGGGUGAAAAGCCCGCUCGCCGGAAGACCAAGGGUUCCUGUCCAACGUUAAUCGGGGCAGGGUGAGUCGACCCCUAAGGCGAGGCCGAAAGGCGUAGUCGAUGGGAAACGGGUUAAUAUUCCCGUACUUGGUGUUACUGCGAAGGGGGGACGGAGAAGGCUAUGUUGGCCGGGCGACGGUUGUCCCGGUUUAAGCGUGUAGGUGUGUGUUCCAGGUAAAUCCGGUUCACUUUAACACUGAGGCGUGACGACGAGGCACUACGGUGCUGAAGCAACAAAUGCCCUGCUUCCAGGAAAAGCCUCUAAGCAUCAGGUAACACGAAAUCGUACCCCAAACCGACACAGGUGGUCAGGUAGAGAAUACCAAGGCGCUUGAGAGAACUCGGGUGAAGGAACUAGGCAAAAUGGUGCCGUAACUUCGGGAGAAGGCACGCUGACACGUAGGUGAAGUGAUUUACUCAUGGAGCUGAAGUCAGUCGAAGAUACCAGCUGGCUGCAACUGUUUAUUAAAAACACAGCACUGUGCAAACACGAAAGUGGACGUAUACGGUGUGACGCCUGCCCGGUGCCGGAAGGUUAAUUGAUGGGGUCAGCGCAAGCGAAGCUCCUGAUCGAAGCCCCGGUAAACGGCGGCCGUAACUAUAACGGUCCUAAGGUAGCGAAAUUCCUUGUCGGGUAAGUUCCGACCUGCACGAAUGGCGUAAUGAUGGCCAGGCUGUCUCCACCCGAGACUCAGUGAAAUUGAACUCGCUGUGAAGAUGCAGUGUACCCGCGGCAAGACGGAAAGACCCCGUGAACCUUUACUAUAGCUUGACACUGAACAUUGAGCCUUGAUGUGUAGGAUAGGUGGGAGGCUUUGAAGUGUGGACGCCAGUCUGCAUGGAGCCGACCUUGAAAUACCACCCUUUAAUGUUUGAUGUUCUAACGUGGACCCGUAAUCCGGGUUGCGGACAGUGUCUGGUGGGUAGUUUGACUGGGGCGGUCUCCUCCUAAAGAGUAACGGAGGAGCACGAAGGUUGGCUAAUCCUGGUCGGACAUCAGGAGGUUAGUGCAAUGGCAUAAGCCAGCUUGACUGCGAGCGUGACGGCGCGAGCAGGUGCGAAAGCAGGUCAUAGUGAUCCGGUGGUUCUGAAUGGAAGGGCCAUCGCUCAACGGAUAAAAGGUACUCCGGGGAUAACAGGCUGAUACCGCCCAAGAGUUCAUAUCGACGGCGGUGUUUGGCACCUCGAUGUCGGCUCAUCACAUCCUGGGGCUGAAGUAGGUCCCAAGGGUAUGGCUGUUCGCCAUUUAAAGUGGUACGCGAGCUGGGUUUAGAACGUCGUGAGACAGUUCGGUCCCUAUCUGCCGUGGGCGCUGGAGAACUGAGGGGGGCUGCUCCUAGUACGAGAGGACCGGAGUGGACGCAUCACUGGUGUUCGGGUUGUCAUGCCAAUGGCACUGCCCGGUAGCUAAAUGCGGAAGAGAUAAGUGCUGAAAGCAUCUAAGCACGAAACUUGCCCCGAGAUGAGUUCUCCCUGAGACUUAGAGUCUCCUGAAGGAACGUUGAAGACGACGACGUUGAUAGGCCGGGUGUGUAAGCGCAGCGAUGCGUUGAGCUAACCGGUACUAAUGAACCGUGAGGCUUAACCUU
This 2988-nucleotide ribosomal RNA is filed under the name Salmonella enterica subsp. enterica serovar Typhimurium str. DT104. Its description in RNAcentral is "bacterial LSU rRNA". It matches the Rfam family "Bacterial large subunit ribosomal RNA". The record is from RNAcentral. Lineage: Bacteria; Pseudomonadati; Pseudomonadota; Gammaproteobacteria; Enterobacterales; Enterobacteriaceae.